UCUCCUGGAAACGGGUGGUAAUGCCGGAUGCUCCAGUUGACCGCAUGGUCCUCUGGGAAAGCUUUUGCGGUAUGGGAUGGGGUCGCGUCCUAUCAGCUUGAUGGCGGGGUAACGGCCCACCAUGGCUUCGACGGGUAGCCGGCCUGAGAGGGCGACCGGCCACAUUGGGACUGAGAUACGGCCCAGACUCCUACGGGAGGCAGCAGUGGGGAAUAUUGCACAAUGGGCGCAAGCCUGAUGCAGCGACGCCGCGUGCGGGAUGACGGCCUUCGGGUUGUAAACCGCUUUUGACUGGGAGCAAGCCCUUCGGGGUGAGUGUACCUUUCGAAUAAGCACCGGCUAACUACGUGCCAGCAGCCGCGGUAAUACGUAGGGUGCAAGCGUUAUCCGGAAUUAUUGGGCGUAAAGGGCUCGUAGGCGGUUCGUCGCGUCCGGUGUGAAAGUCCAUCGCUUAACGGUGGAUCCGCGCCGGGUACGGGCGGGCUUGAGUGCGGUAGGGGAGACUGGAAUUCCCGGUGUAACGGUGGAAUGUGUAGAUAUCGGAAAAAAACA
RNAcentral lists this ribosomal RNA (552 nucleotides) under Bifidobacterium adolescentis. RNAcentral describes it as "partial 16S ribosomal RNA". It matches the Rfam family "Bacterial small subunit ribosomal RNA", at positions 146 to 708 of the family's 1533-position model. Lineage: Bacteria; Bacillati; Actinomycetota; Actinomycetes; Bifidobacteriales; Bifidobacteriaceae. The record is from RNAcentral.